CUUCAGGUAGUACUGAAGAAAGGCAAUAAAUCCUUUUGGAGUGGAAUUGUGACGUUGUUAUUCGUUUAUUGUUUAGUUGUAAAACAAAAUUAUAAACAGUUCAUGGUUUUCAGGUUGUAAGAUUAAAGCUGAAAAAUGGGCCUUGAAUAAAAAAAGCGUUUUGACCAGUUAAUGAUGUUUGGGUCUCCUGCUACACCGUAGCUUUAACAUGCGAUUGGAUAUCAUGAGGCGACACGUGUCACUGAUGUCCCUUGUUACUUACUAAAAUCUUGGAUGCAAACACAAAGAGAACAACUGAUGACACCAAAGUACUGCCAUGCAAUGCAGUAGCAAUACCACUUUUUAAGACAAUAAUGCAGUAUCAGUACCAGAAGUAGCAACAUGUUGUAAGGGUAAUGCAGUAUCAGAACCAGUACUUCCAAAAUCACUGCAGUACCAGUACUAGUAAUGCAGCUUUGGCCUAGAAUAUGAAAUAUGUUUUGCCCUGUUAAUGGUUUUUGGGUCUCCUGCUACACAGUAGCUGCAACAUGCAAUUGGCUAUCAUGAGGCACACAUGUCAUCACUGAUGGCUCUUGUAUCAACUUUAUUUCAAUUAAGUAUAUCUAUAAAUAUGCUGUUUUGUGUUGUUGUGUUUUCAUGAAAUUUAAUUGAAUUUUCUUAUAACCGUUUAAAAUUUAAAACAAAAUAUGUUUUCCAAAAAUUAGAAAGUCUAUAUAAAUAAAU
Molecule: long non-coding RNA, 723 nt
Organism: Ruditapes philippinarum (Manila clam)
Lineage: Eukaryota; Metazoa; Mollusca; Bivalvia; Venerida; Veneridae
Exons: 3
Source: RefSeq, a predicted model, not a curated record